GUGACCGCUGCGCCCCCCUGCGGCGGGGAGGGCUGCUGCAGCUCCGCGCCUGAGGGAGGCGCCGGGCCGCCAUAUUGCCCGCGUCGGGAUAGGGGUACCCCGACGUCACCGGGCACCCCUGCGGCGCGAAGAGUUGCGGGUGAGGGACUCUAGUGCCGCCCUCACGCCUUGCCCGACCUUCCCUGUAGUGUUCUGAACCUCCAGAGCCGACGGCGUGGUGGUGAACUGUUGGGAGGAAGGUGGUGGGCAGAGCCACGGCCUGGUGUGAAGUGCGCCCUUCUGAGAGUCGCUCACAGUGCGGUAUCCGUUGGGCCUAAGGACGCUCUUUGCUGCGUGCACGUGAGAUAUAAGGCGUACAGUCACCACGAGGGGGGGAAGGAAGAGAUGGAUGAGGUGUGAUACUCCAGGCUCACACCUAAGGGAAAGGUCAAAAUUCUACAGGAAUUUACAAAGGCUGACAUGUGGAAGUUUAUUUCCGGUUGCACGUGUUGUGUUCCAGUAUAUGAAAUUGUUGCAGAGAAUGAGCCCAGAUAACAGCCACUGAUUUCUCCCCGAAGAUCCCUGAUUUCCUAGAGACAGCUUAUCCAGUAAAAGGUCUGAGUACAGCACAGGGAUGCAUGUGGUACAAGAAGGACAAUAAAUUCCAGAAACCUGAAGGUCCCUAGGUCAAAUAUCUGCUCCUGUUACAGCAGCAGUGUUGUGGAUUGCUGAUCUGUGUGGUCUUAGGCUCAGCUUUCAGGUUGACUGUACAGAGCACACUGAUGGUGGUAGCUGCCAGAGGCACACUUCAUUGGACUAUCUAGCAUCACCUAUCUGUGCCAUUGACGCAGACUGAUCUCCACCAACUGGUGGUGUGAAUUCUUAGUAGACCAGUAAAAUAGAGGUCCUGAUGUGCUAGCUGAGAAAUCCCCAGGAAAUGAUCAGUUGCCAGAUGUUGCAGAAACACAGCUUCAAAGUUGAAACCUCUGCUACUGUCAUCAGGAUAAUCCACAAUGAAUGUCAAACUUCGACUGUAUGAAGCUGGCACUGCAGGACUUGUGGAUAGCUUUGUUAACCUGUGUGCUGUUCCCAGGGCAUCCAAAGCCACUACAGCUGCAUUGGAAGUGCUCUUGUUGUAGCUGUUUGGGGACCAGGACCAGCAAAAUACCACUGAAUUCCAGGAAUCAGCUAUUGAUAGAGUUGUGAACCUUGUCUCGCACUCCGUGUUAUGUCAGAUCUACUACAGUGCAGGCAUUCACUUUGAUGACAGCUGCUGCACUUCAAUAAAUUCUACGUAUGCUGAACUAAGACACUGCCCCACAGUAUUUCCUAAAUUGAGACUCUUAAUGAAGAAGAGAGUGGGGGAAAGGAUCCAGAAGUGAAAUCUCUCCCUGAAGUUUUACUACAGAGGCAUUGGACAGUUCACUUUACUUCUAUGUUACAUGGAUAGAAUUCCUUGUAAGGACUGACACACUUCUAGGUGACCUUCAGCAGUUAUUACUGCCAGUGAUUCAUCUCAUGAGGGCUGCUUCUUGGAAGGAAGCUCCAAUGCAGACAAGCUGCCACGCAGAACAAUUUCUCUUUUUUUCCUGCAUACAAAGGACUUGCUAACAAAUUUCUCCAGAUGAGGUAUCCCCCCAUGCACAGCAAGCCAAUAACCACUGAUGAAAGGAGACAGUGUUAGCCAGUUUUGUGGAGAAAGGAACAUCUCAACAAAUUCCUCCUAUAAACCAUCAGGAAGCAGUUCAUUUAGUAGUUCAAAUAAAUCUGAUUUAAGGACACGAGAGACAUGUCAUACCUUUGGGCUGCUUUAAUU
Phasianus colchicus (ring-necked pheasant) is the source of this 1795-nucleotide long non-coding RNA. RefSeq lists it as uncharacterized. The record is from RefSeq and is a predicted model, not a curated record. NCBI's taxonomy places the organism in Eukaryota, Metazoa, Chordata, Aves, Galliformes, Phasianidae.